This is a long non-coding RNA of Chelonus insularis, 3178 nucleotides long. RefSeq lists it as uncharacterized. NCBI's taxonomy places the organism in Eukaryota, Metazoa, Arthropoda, Insecta, Hymenoptera, Braconidae. The transcript has 3 exons. The record is from RefSeq and is a predicted model, not a curated record.
UGUAGUAUAUAAUGUAUAUAUCGGUAGAUAACAUAAUGCAAGAAAAGGUAGAAUCUGAGAUAUUCAUCUCCUGGCCACUGCACUGCACUGCUUCACUAUAUUACACAAAUAUAUAUUGUGUUAUUAUUCAGGUCGUGAACUCGAGAUCUAAGGAUUAUCGAUUCCGAUCGAAGAUUCAGAGUAGUGAGAUAAGAACCACUACAGAUCGAAUAUAAUAUAGGAAAUAUGAUUUCUAGAAAUAAAGGAGAGAUAAAAAGCUGAAUUAAAGAUAAUGUUGAAAUAUUUUUUUCUUUGUAUUGGAAAGGAAAAUUGUUUCGAAGGUUGAAGUUUUUUUUUUUUAGAAAAAAAGCUUUACGAAAAAGUGUUUAAAAGUAUUUUCGACUCUUGUUUUAAUUUGAUUAAAUAUCACAGAAGACUGUAAAAAUUGGUAAAUAUUUAUUGAUGCUCGAGUUCAUGAGAAAAUGAUGGCUAAAAUCUUUUGGAGAAUUUAUGGAAGAGUAGAAGCGAUCAAAAUCUUUCAUAUUUUACUUUAAACUCCAAAUAUUGACUCUGAAAGUGAAAUUUCACUUCAUCACUCCUCUCUAUCUACAUAGAAACAAGUUCGAAUGUGACUUUGGUCACACGAUACCACACUUGGGUACAAUCUAUACACAUAAUUGCUGUGUCUGUUUCCCGUGAGGGCUGCCGUGAGAACUGGAUGUUGUUAUAGUCAUAGCACAAUAAUAUAAUGCACUAUAGUAACCUGAUGGUAGUCUCACUAAACAAAGAGGCCAAGGGAAAACGUUGAGGAACAUUUAUUGGGGUAGUUGAGAGUUUCAACCCCGAUACAACUACAGACCUUAAGAUAGCUUAGGGGAAAUUCCAACAAGUGGUUUUGCCAUAGCUUUUGCAUAUUCAACGCUUGGAGAAUCGUGAGGUAUAGCAUGAAUAUAACAACAACUAAGUGUAGAUGCUGGACUAUUCUUGUUAUAUUCGUCAAUUACUAAGACCUACAGGUACCAGACGAAAGCUAUUCAUAGUCUUUCUACAAGAAUUAUGCAUUUAGGGCGAAUAUAGAAAAAUAAUAGCUAAUAGACUCUUUCUGAGCUAACGAAUGUAUACGUCUUUUCAUGGUAAUGGCAAAUGUUUAGGGAUAUUGGUAAUUUCUUGAUGCAAAUAAUUUUUGUUUUACUCACUCAAAUAAUUUCUGUAACUAUAAAAUAUUUUGAAAUAUUAUUAAAAGUCAUUUAAUAAUAUUACUAUUACGAGUUUUUUAUAUGUUGAUUAAUGAUGACUUGGUUCUUAGAGACUAGAAUAAAAACUUUGCUUUGAUAAGGCAGAAAUUUUUAGGAAAAAAUGGUUUCAUUGUCGGGUUCUAGAAACGUUACACAGUUUCCUACUUACAACAGGAGUAAAAUAUUGUUAAAUAGAACUAGAUAGUAAAGAUAAAUGUGUUAUUUAAUAAUCUUGUUGAAUUUAGAUCAUCUAGCUAAACUACUGUAAUGAAAAGUAAAACUAGUUAACCAUCAAAAAUUUAUAUCGAGAAAGAUAGUAUUAUAAAUCAGCUAAUUAUCUUCCAUGAACCACACUCAUUGUCAAAGACUGAUUCUAAGGUAUUCAUGACCAUUUAAACCCAACGACCAACAGUAUAAGUAGUUAUCUUAAUGAUUCUCACCUUUUGAAAAGCUAUUUAGGACCAACUAAAUAGAACAUCAUGCUAUGAUCCUUUUUUCAAUACAGUGUUUUCCAAUUUUUCCAUGUCAAGUCUAAUGCGGGUUGCUGGUGGCAUAGUAUGGUAUUACAGGUUCUUUAUUACUCUGCUGACCAACGCUUGAACCUUAAUGACCUCUCGUUCUCAUACAACUACCAACAAUUGACCGAACAUUUCAAACUUUCCCAAAAUACUGUCGGGAUUUUCCUCUGGUCAUUCAGCUCGUUCUUAAAUUCUCAGGUAAAUAUCAAUGUCACUUUCCUCAACACAAUGACUAGGAAGUAUUGAUCGACGUUAUUUGAAACUCCUAAGAGACACUAGACAAUCGAUUGACAGCAGAACUGCAAGUGAAUUUUUGAAUAGAAGCUAGAGAAUAGGAGCAGGAAGAAUGAUCGAUUUUUUUGAGACAUCAGAAUAUAUUCGUUAUAUCGCUUGGUGCUAUAGGGGUGUAUUGAGUAUAAAGAAGAUACUUCGAUGAAAAAAUAUGGAGACAAAAAAACGUGUCCCAAGUAUAAACUUCACCAUCAAGAGUUAUUGUACGUCCAUAUGGCUAGUACGUGUGACAAUUGAUAACACCAGAUGUAGAUAAAUCAUCAAGUGACGUAAACUUUCUUCUCAGAUACCAUCAAUUUCUCUUGAAUCAUCAUCGUAAUCAGUUCUUAUCUAUCGCAAGUUAAUCUAAUAAAAUAUUUUCAAAACUGAUUACUUGGAUUAUUUAUUUCUGAUGCAAUGUUGUUUAUGGAAGACCAAGAUGUGCCUGGUGGCAAAUGAUUUUACAGUUGAACAAGAGGAUGAGAGCUGUUAGGAGAUUUUGGCUUCAUUAAUGCAGGUGCAGGUACGACGAUUACCAGACUCAGAACUUGACCAAGUGUGUUCCAUAUGUAACACAUUGGCUCUACUAGUCAACUGGUAUAAUAAACAGGUACUGUAAUCCCGAUAAUCUUCAAGGGAGGUCAUUAUUUAUUUAAUACACUAUUAUACCUAUUUUUUAUCAAUAAAAUUAUAUCCAAUUGUUUGUAAAAUGACUUAAAAAUACGAAUACAACAAACUGUGGUAAUAUAAAAUGAAGGUGGCAAGAGGAAAGUAAAGAAGCAAGAAGUGAUUAAAAUAGCAACAAAAUAAAAAGAGGUGUAAGAGGAGGAAGAAAAAAUAUGAGAUCGAUGAAGUGCAUCGGCUAUUAAGAUAUUUGAAUACAUAAUAUGAAGUACAUAGAAGCCUGAGUAGAGGGAUAUACGUCUGUCGGGACCUACGUCGUCGAUAAGCGACACGAGCAGGGGACGCCCCUUAAGGACUUUAUCGCCAUCGGCGCCGAUAAAACGUUAACUGAACAUGGACCCGGCUCUCUUUACUUUUUAAACUCAACCAUCAUCGUUAGUGUUAUACGUCAUAUCCUUCUUUACUUAUUUUUACGCGACCGUCUUCAUCUGACUGGAACUCAACAGUCUUAUCUCAGAUUAUUUAGUGUUUAUAAAUACGUUUGAAUAAACA